Molecule: non-coding RNA, 89 nt
Organism: Xyrichtys novacula (pearly razorfish)
Lineage: Eukaryota; Metazoa; Chordata; Actinopteri; Labriformes; Labridae
Source: the annotation of a GenBank genome assembly
GACUGAGCAUGCUCAGUCUGCUCCCCUCUCUCUCUCUCCUUCAGGAGGGAGAGAGAGGGGAGCAGACUGAGCAUGCUCACUCUGCUCCU